GAUGAACGCUAGCUACAGGCUUAACACGUGCAAGUCGAGGGGUAACAAGAGAAAAGCUUGCUUUUCUUGUUGACGACCGGCGCACGGGUGAGUAACGCGUAUCCAACCUGCCUAUAACUAGGGAAUAACCUUGCGAAAGUAAGACUAAUACCCUAUGAUUUCCUUUGAUGACAUCAGAUUAGGAAUAAAGAUUUAUCGGUUAUAGAUGGGGAUGCGUCUGAUUAGCUUGUUGGCGGGGUAACGGCCCACCAAGGCAACGAUCAGUAGGGGUUCUGAGAGGAAGGUCCACCACAUUGGAACUGAGACACGGUCCAAACUCCUACGGGAGGCAGCAGUGAGGAAUAUUGGUCAAUGGGCGGAGGCCUGAACCAGCCAAGUAGCGUGCAGGAUGACGGCCCUAUGGGUUGUAAACUGCUUUUAUACAGGAAUAAAGUUAGCCACGUGUGGUUAUUUGUAGGUACUGUAUGAAUAAGGACCGGCUAAUUCCGUGCAGCCGCCGCAGUAA
Molecule: ribosomal RNA, 505 nt
Filed under: uncultured bacterium
Lineage: Bacteria
Description: partial 16S ribosomal RNA
Rfam family: Bacterial small subunit ribosomal RNA
Source: RNAcentral